UGUAUUAGAAAAAUUAUGGUAGCAAUGAUGGAAUUGCUUAUCAUCAUUCACUUUGAAGUGCAAGCUAAAAAUGUAAUCCCUAGCUCUUUUUGUCUUUCAGUUCGCACCCCUCUUCCUUGUAAUUCUAAACUUGAUCAAUUCCGAGGACCAUUCAUUAUAUGUAUUACAAAUAGAAUUAAAAAAUGUGGAGCUUGGCUAAAAGUUAAAGAUGCGAAAGAACGAGAGUUUGCAUUUGAGUCGUGUAUUGGUCUGAUUUUUGGUCUCUGCCACAAGCAUAUCAAAGAAAUUGACGACCCAAUCGUCCCUAUCAUUGAAGGGUGCGUAGAAGAUUGCCUUGACAACCACAAAGAAUUAAGUCCUCGUGUUGCUUGUAUAUUAUUGCGAUGUUUUUUACGCCAUAUCAACAAGUCGUAUCCAAGACCUCCACCUUAAUUUAGAUUUGAUUCAAUGGUGAAUUUGCACAUAUAUAUAUAUUUUGUACGGAAAUGGACAAGAGAUUACUUUGACAUCAUUGAGGAGAUUAAAUGCAAGAUGUAGUUUAUAUUCUUUAUUUCUUGAUGAUGAGGAACCCCUCCAAGGCAAGGUCACUUCGUGUAUUCACGUCUGUCAGGUAAACCUCGGACUUAUACGUGUAAAACGCCCCUCCCACAUGGAUCGAGUAAUACUCUAACUUAGACAGCAGGCUGGCCCUAAAGAAUUGUUUCCACCGAAGAGGAUUCGAACCUUAGAUCUCAUGGAACUACCAUAAACACCAAUGUCCUUACCUCUUGAGCCAACCCCACGGGGUUAGUUUAUAUUCUUUAUGACAACUUGUUGGAGAAUAUUUUGGACCAAAUUAAAUGGAUUAAGCGGCCGAGAUGCAUGAUAAUUUUGAUCAAGGGGGAGUCAAGUCAAUUAAUUAAGUCUAUGUUAUUACAGUGUUUUUUAAUAAGUGUCUUCGUGCACAUGCAAGGGGAAAAUGUAUGGCACUAUUUUUAAUGUUCUUUCACUUAAACGUUAUGUUGACCUUAUAAGAGGUUAAAUUUGUCUUAAUUAGUUACG
Alnus glutinosa is the source of this 1041-nucleotide long non-coding RNA. RefSeq lists it as uncharacterized. The record is from RefSeq and is a predicted model, not a curated record. NCBI's taxonomy places the organism in Eukaryota, Viridiplantae, Streptophyta, Magnoliopsida, Fagales, Betulaceae. The transcript is spliced from 3 exons.